RNAcentral lists this ribosomal RNA (440 nucleotides) under uncultured bacterium. Its description in RNAcentral is "partial 16S ribosomal RNA". It matches the Rfam family "Bacterial small subunit ribosomal RNA", at positions 338 to 795 of the family's 1533-position model. The record is from RNAcentral.
CCUACGGGUGGCUGCAGUGGGGAAUAUUGCACAAUGGGGGAAACCCUGAUGCAGCGACGCCGCGUGACGGAAGAAGGAUUUCUGUAUUUAAACUUCUAUCAGCAGGGAAGAAAAUGUCGGUACCUGUCUACGAAGCCCCGGCUAACUACGUGCCAGCACCCGCGGUACUACGCCGGGGGCAAGCGUUAUCCGGAUUUACUGGGUGUAAUGGGAGCGUAGGCGGUGCAGCAAGUGAGCAGUGAAAGCCCGGGGCUAAACGACGAGACUGCCGUUGAAACUGUUGAACUAGAGUGCACGAGAGGUAAGUGGAAUGCCUAGUGUAGCGGUGAAAUGCGUAGAUAUGAGGAGGAACACCAGUGGCGAAGGCGGCUUACUGGACUGUAAAUGACGCUGAGGCUCGAAAGCGUGGGGAGCAAACAGGAUUAGAUACCCCUGUAGUC